RNAcentral lists this ribosomal RNA (432 nucleotides) under uncultured bacterium. Its description in RNAcentral is "partial 16S ribosomal RNA". It matches the Rfam family "Bacterial small subunit ribosomal RNA", at positions 29 to 506 of the family's 1533-position model. The record is from RNAcentral.
AACGAACGCUGGCGGCAUGCCUAACACAUGCAAGUCGAACGAGACCUUCGGGUCUAGUGGCGCACGGGUGCGUAACGCGUGGGAACCUGCCCUUAGGUUCGGAAUAACUCCCCGAAAGGGGUGCUAAUACCGGAUAAUGUCUUCGGACCAAAGAUUUAUCGCCUUUGGAUUGGCCCGCGUUGGAUUAGCUAGUUGGUAGGGUAAAAGCCUACCAAGGCGACGAUCCAUAGCUGGUCUGAGAGGAUGAUCAGCCACACUGGGACUGAGACACGGCCCAGACUCCUACGGGAGGCAGCAGUGGGGAAUAUUGGACAAUGGGCGAAAGCCUGAUCCAGCAAUGCCGCGUGAGUGAUGAAGGCCUUAGGGUUGUAAAGCUCUUUUACCCGGGAUGAUAAUGACAGUACCGGGAGAAUAAGCUCCGGCUAACUCCGU